This 460-nucleotide ribosomal RNA is filed under the name uncultured bacterium. RNAcentral's name for it is "partial 16S ribosomal RNA". It matches the Rfam family "Bacterial small subunit ribosomal RNA", at positions 338 to 795 of the family's 1533-position model. The record is from RNAcentral.
CCUACGGGUGGCAGCAGUGAGGAAUAUUGGUCAAUGGACGAGAGUCUGAACCAGCCAAGUAGCGUGAAGGAUGACUGCCCUCUGGGUUGUAAACUUCUUUUAUAUGGGAAUAAAAUGUUCCACGUGUGGGAUUUUGUCUGUACCAUAUUAAUAAGGAUCGGCUAACUCCGUGCCAGCAGCCGCGGUAAUACGGAGGAUCCGAGCGUUAUCCGGAUUUAUUGGGUUUAAAGGGAGCGUAGGUGGAUUGUUAAGUCAGUUGUGAAAGUUUGCGGAUCAACCGUAAAAUUGCAGUGGAAACUGGCAGUCUUGAGUACAGUAGAGGUGGGCGGAAUUCGUGGUGUAGCGGUGAAAUGCUUAGAUAUCACGAAGAACUCCGAUUGCGAAGGCAGUUCACUGGACUGCAACUGACACUGAGGCUCGAAAGUGUGGGUAUCAAACAGGAUUAGAUACCCCGGUAGUC